CAGCCGCCGCGGUAAUACGAAGGGUGCAAGCGUUACUCGGAAUUACUGGGCGUAAAGCGUGCGUAGGUGGUGGUUUAAGUCCGUUGUGAAAGCCCUGGGCUCAACCUGGGAAUUGCAGUGGAUACUGGAUCACUAGAGUGUGGUAGAGGAUAGUGGAAUUUCCGGUGUAGCAGUGAAAUGCGUAGAGAUCGGAAGGAACAUCUGUGGCGAAGGCGACUAUCUGGGCCAACACUGACACUGAGGCACGAAAGCGUGGGGAGCAAACAGGAUUAGAUACCCCCGUAGUCCCUGUCUCUUAUAC
Molecule: ribosomal RNA, 301 nt
Filed under: uncultured bacterium
Lineage: Bacteria
Description: partial 16S ribosomal RNA
Rfam family: Bacterial small subunit ribosomal RNA
Source: RNAcentral